RNAcentral lists this ribosomal RNA (390 nucleotides) under uncultured bacterium. RNAcentral describes it as "bacterial SSU rRNA". It matches the Rfam family "Bacterial small subunit ribosomal RNA", at positions 28 to 418 of the family's 1533-position model. The record is from RNAcentral.
GAUGAACGCUAGCGGCAGGCUUAACACAUGCAAGUCGAGGGGUAUAGUUCUUCGGAAUUAGAGACCGGCGCACGGGUGCGUAACGCGUAUGCAAUCUACCUUUCACAGAGGGAUAGCCCCAGAGAAAUUUGGAUUAAUACCUCAUAGUAUAGCAGUUUCGCAUGAAACCACUAUUAAAGUCACAACGGUGAAAGAUGAGCAUGCGUCCCAUUAGCUAGUUGGUAAGGUAACGGCUUACCAAGGCAACGAUGGGUAGGGGUCCCUGAGAGGGAGAUCCCCCACACUGGUACUGAGACACGGACCAGACUCCUACGGGAGGCAGCAGUGAGGAAUAUUGGACAAUGGGCGCAAGCCUGAUCCAGCCAUGCCGCGUGCAAGGAUGACGGUCCU